GACGAACGCUGGCGGCGUGCUUAACACAUGCAAGUCGAACGGAAAGGCCCUGCUUGCAGGGUCCUCGAGUGGCGAACGGGUGAGUAACACGUGGGUGAUCUGCCCUGCACUUCGGGAUAAGCCUGGGAAACUGGGUCUAAUACCGGAUAGGAGCCAUUUUUAGUGUGAUGGUUGGAAAGUUUUUUCGGUGUAGGAUGAGCUCGCGGCCUAUCAGCUUGUUGGUGGGGUAAUGGCCUACCAAGGCGGCGACGGGUAGCCGGCCUGAGAGGGUGGACGGCCACAUUGGGACUGAGAUACGGCCCAGACUCCUACGGGAGGCAGCAGUGGGGAAUAUUGCACAAUGGGCGCAAGCCUGAUGCAGCGACGCCGCGUGGGGGAUGACGGCCUUCGGGUUGUAAACUCCUUUCGUUAGGGACGAAGCUUUUUGUGACGGUACCUAGAUAAGAAGCACCGGCUAACUACGUG
Molecule: ribosomal RNA, 465 nt
Filed under: uncultured bacterium
Lineage: Bacteria
Description: partial 16S ribosomal RNA
Rfam family: Bacterial small subunit ribosomal RNA
Source: RNAcentral